GGUUAAGCGACUAAGCGUACACGGUGGAUGCCCUGGCAGUCAGAGGCGAUGAAGGACGUGCUAAUCUGCGAUAAGCGUCGGUAAGGUGAUAUGAACCGUUAUAACCGGCGAUUUCCGAAUGGGGAAACCCAGUGUGUUUCGACACACUAUCAUUAACUGAAUCCAUAGGUUAAUGAGGCGAACCGGGGGAACUGAAACAUCUAAGUACCCCGAGGAAAAGAAAUCAACCGAGAUUCCCCCAGUAGCGGCGAGCGAACGGGGAGCAGCCCAGAGCCUGAAUCAGUGUGUGUGUUAGUGGAAGCGUCUGGAAAGGCGCGCGAUACAGGGUGACAGCCCCGUACACAAAAAUGCACAUAUUGUGAGCUCGAUGAGUAGGGCGGGACACGUGGUAUCCUGUCUGAAUAUGGGGGGACCAUCCUCCAAGGCUAAAUACUCCUGACUGACCGAUAGUGAACCAGUACCGUGAGGGAAAGGCGAAAAGAACCCCGGCGAGGGGAGUGAAAAAGAACCUGAAACCGUGUACGUACAAGCAGUGGGAGCACGCUUAGGCGUGUGACUGCGUACCUUUUGUAUAAUGGGUCAGCGACUUAUAUUCUGUAGCAAGGUUAACCGAAUAGGGGAGCCGAAGGGAAACCGAGUCUUAACUGGGCGUUAAGUUGCAGGGUAUAGACCCGAAACCCGGUGAUCUAGCCAUGGGCAGGUUGAAGGUUGGGUAACACUAACUGGAGGACCGAACCGACUAAUGUUGAAAAAUUAGCGGAUGACUUGUGGCUGGGGGUGAAAGGCCAAUCAAACCGGGAGAUAGCUGGUUCUCCCCGAAAGCUAUUUAGGUAGCGCCUCGUGAAUUCAUCUCCGGGGGUAGAGCACUGUUUCGGCAAGGGGGUCAUCCCGACUUACCAACCCGAUGCAAACUGCGAAUACCGGAGAAUGUUAUCACGGGAGACACACGGCGGGUGCUAACGUCCGUCGUGAAGAGGGAAACAACCCAGACCGCCAGCUAAGGUCCCAAAGUCAUGGUUAAGUGGGAAACGAUGUGGGAAGGCCCAGACAGCCAGGAUGUUGGCUUAGAAGCAGCCAUCAUUUAAAGAAAGCGUAAUAGCUCACUGGUCGAGUCGGCCUGCGCGGAAGAUGUAACGGGGCUAAACCAUGCACCGAAGCUGCGGCAGCGACGCUUAUGCGUUGUUGGGUAGGGGAGCGUUCUGUAAGCCUGUGAAGGUGUGCUGUGAGGCAUGCUGGAGGUAUCAGAAGUGCGAAUGCUGACAUAAGUAACGAUAAAGCGGGUGAAAAGCCCGCUCGCCGGAAGACCAAGGGUUCCUGUCCAACGUUAAUCGGGGCAGGGUGAGUCGACCCCUAAGGCGAGGCCGAAAGGCGUAGUCGAUGGGAAACAGGUUAAUAUUCCUGUACUUGGUGUUACUGCGAAGGGGGGACGGAGAAGGCUAUGUUGGCCGGGCGACGGUUGUCCCGGUUUAAGCGUGUAGGCUGGUUUUCCAGGCAAAUCCGGAAAAUCAAGGCUGAGGCGUGAUGACGAGGCACUACGGUGCUGAAGCAACAAAUGCCCUGCUUCCAGGAAAAGCCUCUAAGCAUCAGGUAACAUCAAAUCGUACCCCAAACCGACACAGGUGGUCAGGUAGAGAAUACCAAGGCGCUUGAGAGAACUCGGGUGAAGGAACUAGGCAAAAUGGUGCCGUAACUUCGGGAGAAGGCACGCUGAUAUGUAGGUGAAGUCCCUCGCGGAUGGAGCUGAAAUCAGUCGAAGAUACCAGCUGGCUGCAACUGUUUAUUAAAAACACAGCACUGUGCAAACACGAAAGUGGACGUAUACGGUGUGACGCCUGCCCGGUGCCGGAAGGUUAAUUGAUGGGGUCAGCGCAAGCGAAGCUCUUGAUCGAAGCCCCGGUAAACGGCGGCCGUAACUAUAACGGUCCUAAGGUAGCGAAAUUCCUUGUCGGGUAAGUUCCGACCUGCACGAAUGGCGUAAUGAUGGCCAGGCUGUCUCCACCCGAGACUCAGUGAAAUUGAACUCGCUGUGAAGAUGCAGUGUACCCGCGGCAAGACGGAAAGACCCCGUGAACCUUUACUAUAGCUUGACACUGAACAUUGAGCCUUGAUGUGUAGGAUAGGUGGGAGGCUUUGAAGUGUGGACGCCAGUCUGCAUGGAGCCGACCUUGAAAUACCACCCUUUAAUGUUUGAUGUUCUAACGUUGACCCGUAAUCCGGGUUGCGGACAGUGUCUGGUGGGUAGUUUGACUGGGGCGGUCUCCUCCUAAAGAGUAACGGAGGAGCACGAAGGUUGGCUAAUCCUGGUCGGACAUCAGGAGGUUAGUGCAAUGGCAUAAGCCAGCUUGACUGCGAGCGUGACGGCGCGAGCAGGUGCGAAAGCAGGUCAUAGUGAUCCGGUGGUUCUGAAUGGAAGGGCCAUCGCUCAACGGAUAAAAGGUACUCCGGGGAUAACAGGCUGAUACCGCCCAAGAGUUCAUAUCGACGGCGGUGUUUGGCACCUCGAUGUCGGCUCAUCACAUCCUGGGGCUGAAGUAGGUCCCAAGGGUAUGGCUGUUCGCCAUUUAAAGUGGUACGCGAGCUGGGUUUAGAACGUCGUGAGACAGUUCGGUCCCUAUCUGCCGUGGGCGCUGGAGAACUGAGGGGGGCUGCUCCUAGUACGAGAGGACCGGAGUGGACGCAUCACUGGUGUUCGGGUUGUCAUGCCAAUGGCACUGCCCGGUAGCUAAAUGCGGAAGAGAUAAGUGCUGAAAGCAUCUAAGCACGAAACUUGCCCCGAGAUGAGUUCUCCCUGACUCCUUGAGAGUCCUGAAGGAACGUUGAAGACGACGACGUUGAUAGGCCGGGUGUGUAAGCGCAGCGAUGCGUUGAGCUAACCGGUACUAAUGAACCGUGAGGCUUAACCUU
RNAcentral lists this ribosomal RNA (2904 nucleotides) under Escherichia coli. RNAcentral's name for it is "bacterial LSU rRNA". It matches the Rfam family "Bacterial large subunit ribosomal RNA". The record is from RNAcentral. Lineage: Bacteria; Pseudomonadati; Pseudomonadota; Gammaproteobacteria; Enterobacterales; Enterobacteriaceae.